RNAcentral lists this ribosomal RNA (633 nucleotides) under Streptomyces galilaeus. Its description in RNAcentral is "bacterial SSU rRNA". It matches the Rfam family "Bacterial small subunit ribosomal RNA", at positions 61 to 710 of the family's 1533-position model. The record is from RNAcentral. Lineage: Bacteria; Bacillati; Actinomycetota; Actinomycetes; Kitasatosporales; Streptomycetaceae.
GUCGAACGAUGAACCACAUUCGGUGGGGAUUAGUGGCGAACGGGUGAGUAACACGUGGGCAAUCUGCCCUUCACUCUGGGACAAGCCCUGGAAACGGGGUCUAAUACCGGAUAACACUUCUGCUCUCAUGGGCAGGGGUUAAAAGCUCCGGCGGUGAAGGAUGAGCCCGCGGCCUAUCAGCUUGUUGGUGAGGUAAUGGCUCACCAAGGCGACGACGGGUAGCCGGCCUGAGAGGGCGACCGGCCACACUGGGACUGAGACACGGCCCAGACUCCUACGGGAGGCAGCAGUGGGGAAUAUUGCACAAUGGGCGAAAGCCUGAUGCAGCGACGCCGCGUGAGGGAUGACGGCCUUCGGGUUGUAAACCUCUUUCAGCAGGGAAGAAGCGAAAGUGACGGUACCUGCAGAAGAAGCGCCGGCUAACUACGUGCCAGCAGCCGCGGUAAUACGUAGGGCGCAAGCGUUGUCCGGAAUUAUUGGGCGUAAAGAGCUCGUAGGCGGCUUGUCACGUCGGGUGUGAAAGCCCGGGGCUUAACCCCGGGUCUGCAUUCGAUACGGGCUAGCUAGAGUGUGGUAGGGGAGAUCGGAAUUCCUGGUGUAGCGGUGAAAUGCGCAGAUAUCAGGAGGAACACC